UACGUAGGGUGCAAGCGUUGUCCGGAAUUAUUGGGCGUAAAGAGCUCGUAGGCGGUCUGUCGCGUCUGCUGUGAAAACUCAGGGCUUAACCCUGAGCUUGCAGUGGGUACGGGCAGACUAGAGUGCGGUAGGGGAGACUGGAAGUUCCGUGGUGAUAGCGGUGAAAUGACGCAGACUAUCAGGAGGAACACCGGUGGCGA
Molecule: ribosomal RNA, 200 nt
Filed under: uncultured bacterium
Lineage: Bacteria
Description: partial 16S ribosomal RNA
Rfam family: Bacterial small subunit ribosomal RNA
Source: RNAcentral